Molecule: transfer RNA, 68 nt
Filed under: Hydroides norvegica
Lineage: Eukaryota; Metazoa; Annelida; Polychaeta; Sabellida; Serpulidae
Description: tRNA-Val
Source: RNAcentral
GGCCCUAAGGUGUUGUUUUAGUUGCACAUCUCUCUUACACAGAGAAGGGGAGAUUAUCUCUGGGGCUU